CUGGGGAGGAGAACUGAGCCCUCUGUAAUUUCCUUCUGGCCUGCACAGUGCGCAGCCAAGGGCAGUGGAGCCUGGGAAGGACCCAGGGUGUGUGCCCUGCCCCUGGUGCAGGGGUGCAGGCCGGACUGGUUUGAACCCGGGGCCGGUGCACCCCUGGCACCUGCUGGCUGCACAACAUGGGGCUCCCCCCUGCUUGGCCUGUGGGCCCGCGGCACAGACUUUAGCCCCUGGUGCAGGUGUGCAGGUGGGAUUGGUUUUCCUCCCUGCUUGAGCCUGGGGUUGGUACACUCAGGUGCACUCGGGUGCACCCCUGGCACCUGCCCGCGGGGCAGCACGGGGCUCCCCACUGCUUGGCCGAGUGCACCACUGCACACACUUGCGCCCCCGGUGCAGGGGUGCAGGCGGGGCUCAUUUCCCUCCGGCCCUGAGCCCGGGCCCCGGUGCACUUGGUGUACCCCUGCCACUUGCCACCUGCGGGGCUCCCCCUGCUCCAGCCCGUGCGCCCCACAGCGCACACUCACUUUCACACAGGCGGCGCCUCAGCUUGCCACGGAUCUUGUCGAUGGCGUCGAAGUCGGACACGUGGAAGACGUGGGCAGACUUGGGCUCCGAGGCGAUCUCCUCCAGCUCCUCCCUGAGCGCCGCCCCGACGCCCACGGCGAAGAUGCGGAUGCCCGCGCGGUGCGCGGUGGCCGCGGCGUCCAGCACCAGGUCCUGGCUGCGGCCGUCGGUCAGGAGGAUGGCCACCUGCUUGAAGGCGCGGUCCCCGGGGCGGCCACCGGCCUGCCGGGAGAAGCUGUGGCGCGUGAUGAAGCGCAGGGCGUCGCCCGUGUUGGUGUUGCCGCCGUGGUAGGCCAGGUGCCGCGCCGCCGCCUUGACAGCCUCCCGGGAGCCGAACAGGCCCAGUUCGAAGGCCGUGGUGGGCCGGUCGCUGUAGCGCACGACCCCCACGCGGGUGCGGUCGGGGCCCACCUCGAAGGUGUCCACCAGGUUGGCCACCCACUGCCGGACCUUCUCGAAGUCCUCCUUGCCCACGCUGGAGGAGGUGUCCAAGAGGAAGACCAGGUCAUAGUGGACCGUCUUGCAACCUGCAGCGGAGGGUGGGGUGGGGAGCAAAUAGAUUGGGAAAGGUCGCCGCCCUUGUGCCUAGAGGCACUGGUGGCCUCACACACGCCUGGCUGGGGACCCUGUCUGGCUGCCUUCAAGCUCUGA
This 1212-nucleotide long non-coding RNA is filed under the name Canis lupus familiaris (dog). RNAcentral describes it as "lncRNA (ENSCAFG00030020940.1)". Lineage: Eukaryota; Metazoa; Chordata; Mammalia; Carnivora; Canidae. The record is from RNAcentral.